GUGCUCUGAUGCUUAUUGCACCACAUGUGUUUUUCUUUGAAACAAACUUGCUUUGGCGGUGGGCCCAGCCUGCCGCCAGAGGUCUAAACUUACAACCAAUUUUUUAUCAACUUGUCACACCAGAUUAUUACUAAUAGUCAAAACUUUCAACAACGGAUCUCUUGGUUCUCGCAUCGAUGAAGAACGCAGCGAAAUGCGAUACGUAAUAUGAAUUGCAGAUAUUCGUGAAUCAUCGAAUCUUUGAACGCACAUUGCGCCCUCUGGUAUUCCGGAGGGCAUGCCUGUUUGAGCGUCGUUUCUCCCUCAAACCGCUGGGUUUGGUGUUGAGCAAUACGACUUGGGUUUGCUUGAAAGACGGUAGUGGUAAGGCGGGAUCGCUUUGACAAUGGCUUAGGUCUAACCAAAAACAUUGCUUGCGGCGGCAACGUCUACCACGUAUAUCUUCAAACUUUGACCUCAAAUCAGGUAGGACUACCCGCUGAACUUAAGCAUAUCAAUAAAGCGGAGGAA
Molecule: ribosomal RNA, 510 nt
Filed under: Candida albicans
Lineage: Eukaryota; Fungi; Ascomycota; Pichiomycetes; Serinales; Debaryomycetaceae
Description: eukaryotic LSU rRNA
Rfam family: 5.8S ribosomal RNA (bases 142-295)
Source: RNAcentral